CUUCUUCUGACCUAGACCCCCCCCGCGUUCCACCACUUGGUGGAAAAAUGAAAAAGCUCACCGUCUUCGUUCAUUCUUAGUUUUCCCUCGCCCGACCAAGCAGCUCCUCUUCUUCGCUGCUCUUCCUCCAUCACUGCUCUCUCAUAUCGGUCUACAAAGUACAAACCAACAACCAAAGCAGCCUCUCACCCCGUGCUUUCCCGUACCCAGUGAAAAAAUCAAAACAUCUAUCUCUUUUUUACCUCGCGCUCUCCUGACCUAGAGCAACUAGAGCUAGCUAUCAGAUCGAUUCAUUCCUCUCAUCUCAAAACAAUGAGAGGUUCUUCUUCCCCAGGAGAGACGGAAGCUAGAGACGCACCGCUCAAGCUAGGUUUUGGACACAAAAGAUUCUUCUUCAACCUCUCCUCCAGAUAACUUGGGUUUUGGUUGAGUUCUUCAAUUUCACGAACGAUUCCGAAGUAUUGAUUCACUAUUGUUGGAUGGUAAGCCUCUUUCUCCGAAGUAUUGAUUUGUUUUGGGUUUUAGGGUUCUCUUGGGAUAUUGAUUUGGGUGUUUUUGCUAAUGUCCUUUGCAAUUAGGUUUGGGUGUUUGGGCUUCUAUCGAUUUAGAGAUGUGGGUGACUGAAAUAGAGUUGGGUCUUACUCUAAUUUAGGAAUUUGCUGCUGGGUUUAUGGAUUUGGGGAUGGUUUGUUCUUCAAAUCGAUUUGGUUGUUAUUUGGGUUCAAGGAUUUGGGGAUGGUUUUUUUGACAGGAAGGUAUUUUUAUUGGUAACAGUUUGUCAUUUGUUGGCACCUAGAUUUUUAAACUUCUUAUCUGACUGUUUUUUGGCUUGACUUUUGCAGGUUUUUCAAGCUGAUGUUAAUCUCUUUUUUGAAUCAGUUUGUGGAGAGGUUUGUGAUUUCAGGGGAAAUUUAAAGUUUAUCGUCUGAGGCUGCUGGAAGACUGUAACCUUUUUAAUUGAAAAUGUCCAAGAUAACUAUAUUUGUUUGUUAAUUCAUUGUAUCUGAUGAACUCAGUCUUGGCCUUGACACCUGCUACCAGAGUUUGGAAUGAGAUCCAGAAGUCAUCACUGUCAUUUGUUUGACUUGCAGGAUGGUAGUAUGAGCAACAUUGGCUAUUCUCAGUUGUUCCAAACACCCCUCAAAUUGGCCUACUACUAAUUGACGUUCGGCUGUAUCCUUUAGAUUCUACUCGCAGUCAGACCAUAUUACUAGACCUGCUCCUCUAAUCAUUUGGUACCAAUAGAACAAACAGAGCAAUAACUAAAACUCUGCUCAAUCAGGUACAAUCUCAAAUGUAGUUUUAUAUAGUUUCUUGGCAGGUACAAUCUGUAAUGUUCCUCGGGUAAUUUGUAACAUUAUAUUCAUUUGUUUGGUCAAUCUCUAAUAGCUAUCGUUUGUUAUUAUUCCUGUGUUUUUCAUAUACUCUACAUUUCCUGUGUUAUUAUUCCUUGGGUGAUUCAGGAAGUACUAAAUUUUUCAUGUUGGGUGUUGGGAAUGAGAUACAGAUGUUAUUUACCCUAACAACACCAGUACACUCUGUUAUUUACUUGGUUGAUUGUCUGCUAUUUCUCUUUCUGUUCAAAUUUAACGAUUCAAGGCCAGCUCUUUCUUUUCUUUUACAUCAUUUAUUUUAGAGAGGUUGGAUUAGGGAUGGGAAUGCAAAGGUCCGUAAAUGAUUUGGUGCUUCAGUCAGUGGUCUUUGUAAUGAUGCAGUUCUGACCGUUGACAUAUAUUUUUAAUAGAAAGGCAACUAGCACAAAUAGAUUUUUAUAUUUCUGAAUGACUCUAGCUUCCAUCAUUUUGGUUUUUCACUUUUUCUAUGUUAAAGAAGACAACAUGAAAUACAGAAUUAGAUGAACCGCCUUCUUGGAUGCAACUCUGGUAUCAAGUAUUUUCAAAAUCUCUUCAUUUGCAUUGUGACAUGGUAUCUUUGUACAAUGUAGGUAGAUUGAAAACCAAAAUUUUUACUGGUAUGAUGAUGAUCUCGAGCUUGACAGUCAAUUAUUAAGCUUCAAAGUGAGUGGAUAACUGCAUGCCUUACCAAAUUUUCUAGCCCGUAUGUAUCUGUCUAAGCUUUAAACAUUCAGUACAGAAUGAGAUAGAAUUUGGAUAUAUUCCUUUUUUUUUUUCUCUCCAUUUUCUGGACAUGUACUGUUCUUUCUGUGCGGAUUAUAUAAAACAGUACUGUAUGUGGGGUUAAGCAGUUAUCUGAUCAAGCUUUCUUAUCAUCAUUUCUCUGCAGAUUUGCUACCAUGUUCUUGGGUUGGUUCAUGGAAUCUGGACCCCUAUUCCUCGAACUGCGAGUUUAUGUCUUCUAUUACUCUUAAAAGAUACACUUUAAUCAUUCUCAACAAUGAAGAAGUCUUCGUUGUUUCUUUCCAUUUUGUGAAUGUACAGAUGGUUUCAACAAUGAAGAAGUCGAUCUUUGAUGAACAAACUAACAAGGCCUUAAGGAAAUUGCAAAAGAAUGCUCAAAAGAAGAGAAGGCAUCAUGAUGUGGUUCGAGCUGAAUGGGCAAAUCAUGUUAUACAGUUCGAAUUUUGGUUCUGUUUAAGGUAGAUGAGUAGCACUUGGAACUGUUUUUGUGCAUUCAUAUAUAACUGAUGGAAACUGUUGAUGAACUUAAAUUAUGCAUACUCUCUGUCUAGCUACUCUUUCUUUACCUUAUAGGUUUUUGACUUGGUGCACUAGGUAAAUGAUCGAGAUAAGAUGGUUUUUUGGUUCUCUUGAUCAUAUUGUAACUGUUGGCUAGGUUUAGAGUUGGAACUAUGGAUUGCAUUUUGGAUGAUGUUGAUGCAAUUAAUGAAACGAAGCCAUCAUUUUCAAUGCUGAUUUUAGUCCAAUUUUAUGGUUUUGAUGAUUGUAAAUGACUGAUGUUAAAAUGGUUGAAAGGCAACAGAUAUAUGCAGGUUUAUGUUGUAUCAAGAAAAUACAGCACAAUUUAUGUUGUAUCAAGAAAAUAGAAACAAAUGAUCAUAUGUUGUUUCUACCAAGUUCAAACAACAGAAAAAUAGAGUUCAAAGAGCUCUCAGACAACAGAAGUAGGUGAUUGAUAUGUUGUUUCUACCACGUUCAAACAACAGAAAAGUAGAGUUCAAAUAGCUCUCAGACAACAGAAGUAGGUGGUUGAUAUGUUGUUUCUACCAACUUCAAACAACAUAAUUAUGUUGUUGCAUACGAAAUCAGUCAACAUAUAACUGUCAUUGUUCUUCAAAUCAGACGACAGAAGCAUCAGCUAAGCUUAAUAUUGGUUCAAUCAAACGACAGAAACAACAAAAACUCUGUCAUCUUACAUUAACUACAUCGACAAUUAUUUUUUGAAUCCGUUGAUGAAGUGAAUUUCCAACAACAUUAAUAUGUAGUGGUAUGGUGUUUCAGACGACAGAUAGACUCCGAUUCUUCAAUAUUAGGUACUUCAGACGACAGUACCUUAAACUGAAUCUGUCGUCUGAAUGCAUUAUCAACGACGGAGAAUAUCUGUCGUCUGAAUGGCUUAGAGACGGCAACCACUUAGACAACAGAUUUUUACUUCAUCAGACGACAGAUAUGGUCUGUCGUCUGAAGCAUUUUUUGGCAUAGUGUGAAAGGAAUAUUUAGAAUAUAUAACACUUACAAAGCCAUAAUAUGAAAUAUCAACUAAAUUUUUUUGUUGUAGAACAAUUGAAAUUCUGAAAACACAAGCUUAAGGAAAUGGACUAUGUAAUAAUAUCAACUUGAAGCUCAUGUAAUCGAUUAUCAUGAAUAUGGACUAUGUAAUAAUAUCAACUUGAAGCUCAUAAACUAAACAACUAUCCUAGCUAGGGUAGAAUAUAAAAGCUAAAACAAUAAGACAGAUUUACAAACGAAGACUGAAGCUCAGAUGACAGGUAACUGCAGCAGCAAUUGGGCAGGUACAUAAGUUCAUAUAAAAGCUCCCUAUAUGUUAUGGAUCACAUACCUUCUUUCAUAAUACCAGAUAUUGCUCUCCUCUCUUC
Molecule: long non-coding RNA, 3976 nt
Organism: Rosa rugosa (rugosa rose)
Lineage: Eukaryota; Viridiplantae; Streptophyta; Magnoliopsida; Rosales; Rosaceae
Exons: 6
Source: RefSeq, a predicted model, not a curated record